RNAcentral lists this ribosomal RNA (484 nucleotides) under uncultured bacterium. Its description in RNAcentral is "partial 16S ribosomal RNA". It matches the Rfam family "Bacterial small subunit ribosomal RNA", at positions 29 to 507 of the family's 1533-position model. The record is from RNAcentral.
AUUGAACGCUGGCGGCAUGCUUUACACAUGCAAGUCGAACGGCAGCGCGGGCUUCGGCCUGGCGGCGAGUGGCGAACGGGUGAGUAAUACAUCGGAACGUGCCCAGUAGUGGGGGAUAGCUCGGCGAAAGCCGGAUUAAUACCGCAUACGACCUGAGGGUGAAAGCGGGGGAUCUUCGGACCUCGCGCUAUUGGAGCGGCCGAUGGCAGAUUAGCUAGUUGGUGGGGUAAAGGCCUACCAAGGCGACGAUCUGUAGCUGGUCUGAGAGGACGACCAGCCACAGUGGGACUGAGAGACGGCCGAGACUACUACGGGAGGCAGCAGUGGGGAAUGUUGGACAAUGGGGGAAAGCCUGAUGCAGCAAUGACGAGAGUGAGAUGAAGGCCUUAGGGCUGUAAAGCAAUUUAGGCGAGAACGAAAAGGAGCGUGGCAAAACCACGGUUCGAUGACGGUGCCCGCAGAAUAAGCGCGGACUAACUACGUG